RNAcentral lists this ribosomal RNA (830 nucleotides) under Pseudomonas sp. Its description in RNAcentral is "partial 16S ribosomal RNA". It matches the Rfam family "Bacterial small subunit ribosomal RNA", at positions 96 to 804 of the family's 1533-position model. The record is from RNAcentral. Lineage: Bacteria; Pseudomonadati; Pseudomonadota; Gammaproteobacteria; Pseudomonadales; Pseudomonadaceae.
CGGCGGACGGGUGAGUAAUGUCUGGGAAUCUGCCUGUUUGUGGGGGAUAACUUUUGGAAGACGGUAGGCUAAUACCGCGAUACGUUCCUCGAGGGAGGGAAAGUGGGGGCACCUUCGGGCCUUGUGCUAUCAGAUGUGCCUAGGUGGGAUUAUGCUUGUUGGUGGGGUAAUGGCUCACCUAGUUAGUUUCGCGAACGAUGCCCCGUAAUCUGGUCUGAGGAGGGAAUGGAUCCAAAUGUCACACUUGGAACUGAUGGGACACGGUCCAGACUCCUACGGGAGGCAGCAGUGGGGAAUAUUAGGACCAAUGGGCGAAAGCCUGAUGCAGCCCAUGACUCCCGACGAUGUGUGAAAAGAAGGUCUUCGGGUUGUAAAGCACUUGUAAGUUGGGAGGAAUAGGGCGUUAGGUUAAUACCUUGAUGUUUUGACGUUGUUUAAAUCCCCGGCAAGAAUAAGCACCGGCUAACUCUGUGCCCAGCAGCCGCGGUAAUACGGAGGGUGCAAGCGUUAAUCGGAAUUACUGGGCGUAAAGCGCGCGGAGGUGGUUGUGGUCUUAAGUUGGUAUGUGAAAUCCCCCCGGGGCUACACACCUGGGAAACUGACAUAUUCAGAGAACUGGCAGCGCGCUAGAAAGCGGUCCCUUGAUAGAGGGUGGUGGAAUUUCAUGUGUAGCGGUGCGAAACUAGUGCGUGAGUAGAUAAACUAGGGAGGAAGUGUAUACCGGUGUGGCGCGGAAAAGGCGGCCCCGCCCCUGGCACUGAUACUGACGCUGAGGUGCGAAAGCGUGGGGGAGCAAMCAGGAUAUAGAUACCCUGGUAGUCCACGGUAAA